AUACCGGAGAAUGUUAUCACGGGAAACACACGGCGGGUGCUAACGUCCGUCGUGAAGAGGGAAACAACCCAGACCGCCAGCUAAGGUCCCAAAGUCAUGGUUAAGUGGGAAACGAUGUGGGAAGGCCCAGACAGCCAGGAUGUUGGCUUAGAAGCAGCCAUCAUUUAAAGAAAGCGUAAUAGCUCACUGGUCGAGUCGGCCUGCGCGGAAGAUGUAACGGGGCUAAACCAUGCACCGAAGCUGCGGCAGCGAACGUAUCACUUAAAGCGAUUCAGCGGGUUACGAUUGACGGAGCGAAGCGACGUCAAAGCGUAUACAAAGUCGAGUCGGUUUAAGGAUACGUUCGUUGGGUAGGGGAGCGUUCUGUAAGCCUGUGAAGGUGGCCUGUGAGGGUUGCUGGAGGUAUCAGAAGUGCGAAUGCUGACAUAAGUAACGAUAAAGCGGGUGAAAAGCCCGCUCGCCGGAAGACCAAGGGUUCCUGUCCAACGUUAAUCGGGGCAGGGUGAGUCGACCCCUAAGGCGAGGCCGAAAGGCGUAGUCGAUGGGAAACGGGUUAAUAUUCCCGUACUUGGUGUUACUGCGAAGGGGGGACGGAGAAGGCUAUGUUGGCCGGGCGACGGUUGUCCCGGUUUAAGCGUGUAGGUGUGUGUUCCAGGUAAAUCCGGUU
RNAcentral lists this ribosomal RNA (667 nucleotides) under Salmonella enterica subsp. enterica serovar Newport. Its description in RNAcentral is "partial 23S ribosomal RNA". It matches the Rfam family "Bacterial large subunit ribosomal RNA", at positions 960 to 1547 of the family's 2925-position model. Lineage: Bacteria; Pseudomonadati; Pseudomonadota; Gammaproteobacteria; Enterobacterales; Enterobacteriaceae. The record is from RNAcentral.